AGGAUACGGUUAACGGAGCGAAAGCGACGUUCAACCUCAAAAGAAGCAGAGGGGGCUUAGUGGUGGGGUGACUGCGUACCUUUUGUAUAAUGGGUCAGCGACUUAUAUUCUGUAGCAAGGUUAACCGAAUAGGGGAGCCGGAGGGAAACCGAGUCUUAAUUGGGCGUUAAGUUGCAGGGUAUAGACCCGAAACCCGGUGAUCUAGCCAUGGGCAGGUUGAAGGUUGGGUAACACUAACUGGAGGACCGAACCGAC
RNAcentral lists this ribosomal RNA (255 nucleotides) under Salmonella enterica subsp. enterica serovar Infantis. RNAcentral's name for it is "partial 23S ribosomal RNA". It matches the Rfam family "Bacterial large subunit ribosomal RNA", at positions 515 to 783 of the family's 2925-position model. The record is from RNAcentral. RNAcentral also lists the same sequence under 2 other names. Lineage: Bacteria; Pseudomonadati; Pseudomonadota; Gammaproteobacteria; Enterobacterales; Enterobacteriaceae.